This is a non-coding RNA of Triticum urartu, 115 nucleotides long. NCBI's taxonomy places the organism in Eukaryota, Viridiplantae, Streptophyta, Magnoliopsida, Poales, Poaceae. The record is from Rfam.
CAAGUACUCCCUCCAUUCGGAAAUAUUUGUCCUAGAAAUGGUUGUAUAUAGACUUGUUUUUGUUCUAGAUACAACCAUUUUUAAGACAAGUAUUUCCGAACGGAGGGACUACAAG